This 420-nucleotide ribosomal RNA is filed under the name Melaloncha maculata. Its description in RNAcentral is "partial 12S ribosomal RNA". The record is from RNAcentral. Lineage: Eukaryota; Metazoa; Arthropoda; Insecta; Diptera; Phoridae.
CUAGGAUUAGAUACCCUAUUAUUUGAAAUGUAANNNNNNNAAACUAAAGUAUUAAUAGGUAUGGGCUUUAAACUUAAAAAAUUUGGCGGUAUUUUAGUCUAUUCAGAGGAACCUGUUUUAUAAUCGAUAUUCCACGUUGGACCUUACUUUAAUUUAUAAAUUAGUUUAUAUACCGUCGUUAUAAAAAAUUUUAUAAGAAUAAUAAUUUUUAANNNNNNNNNNNNNNAAUUUUAUAUCAGAUCAAGGUGUAGCUUAUGUUAAAGAAAAUAAUGGGUUACAAUAAAAUUAAUUAUAUGGAUAUGAAAAUGAAAAAUUUAUUGAAAGAGGAUUUGAAAGUAAAAUUAAAUAGAUUAUUAAUUUGAUUUUAGCUCUAAAAUAUGUACAUAUUGCCCGUCACUCUUAUUAUUAAAAUAAGAUAAG